Long non-coding RNA from Gorilla gorilla gorilla (western lowland gorilla), 271 nucleotides. RefSeq lists it as uncharacterized. The record is from RefSeq and is a predicted model, not a curated record. The transcript has 3 exons. Lineage: Eukaryota; Metazoa; Chordata; Mammalia; Primates; Hominidae.
AUAUCGGGGAAUAUGUAGAUGGGAGACUGUGAGCCCCCGAGGACAGGGACUGCAUCUGCCUUGAUCACUGUUGAAUCUGUGUUGUAUUCAGCAAGUUGGACCAUCAGCAUAGUCCCUGACAAAAUGAUGGAGGGCAAAGCCAAGUACAUCCUCCCUACCGAAACAAUAUAUGUUGGGGAAAUGAAGGAUGGCAUGUUUCACGGCGAAGGAACCCUGUACUUCCCCAGUGGAAGCCAAUACGACGCCAUUUGGGAAAACGGAUUGGCCAUAA